This is a long non-coding RNA of Chiroxiphia lanceolata (lance-tailed manakin), 321 nucleotides long. RefSeq lists it as uncharacterized. The transcript is spliced from 4 exons. The record is from RefSeq and is a predicted model, not a curated record. NCBI's taxonomy places the organism in Eukaryota, Metazoa, Chordata, Aves, Passeriformes, Pipridae.
GGGGAGCGCGCGGCGGGGCGGGGCGCGGGGAGCCGUGAGGGGAGAGCCCACCCCUGGCGGGCCUCGGGGGUGUCUCCGCGGGGCAUCCAGCGUUUUGGGCGCUCUCAUAGUUAUGAGAGAAGACAGGAUUUUCCCUCUCUCAUUGCAGUUUUACAGAUCUGUGGCUACCACCCCAUGGAAGUUGGGCUGCACUUCAGGCUGUGUGUGAAGGGACUGUGGAGCCUGCCAUUCCCAGAUCCUUGUCCAGGGAAUGCUGCUGAGGAUGUGGUGUGUCCCUGUACAACUUUAAAUCCCCCUGCUGCUUUUAGAGGAAUGAGGCAC